This 64-nucleotide transfer RNA is filed under the name Lucidina sp. FM13. RNAcentral describes it as "tRNA-Pro". The record is from RNAcentral. Lineage: Eukaryota; Metazoa; Arthropoda; Insecta; Coleoptera; Lampyridae.
CAGAGAAUAGUUUAUAUAAAAUUUUAAUUUUGGAGAUUAAGGAAAAUAAGAAUAUUUUCUCUGA